UACGGAGGGUGCAAGCGUUGUCCGGAAUCAUUGGGUGUAAAGGGUACGUAGGCGGAGUGAUAAGUCAGUGGUGAAAGCCCGCAGCUUAACUGCGGAAUUGCCAUUGAUACUGUUGCUCUUGAGUGUAGUUGAGGUAAGCGGAAUGUGGCAUGUAGCGGUGAAAUGCAUAGAUAUGCCACAGAACACCGAUCGCGAAGGCAGCUUACCAAACUGUAACUGACGCUAAGGUACGAAAGCGUGGGGAGCAAACAGG
Molecule: unclassified non-coding RNA, 253 nt
Filed under: uncultured Cryomorphaceae bacterium
Lineage: Bacteria; Pseudomonadati; Bacteroidota; Flavobacteriia; Flavobacteriales; Cryomorphaceae
Description: contains 16S-23S intergenic spacer region
Rfam family: Bacterial small subunit ribosomal RNA
Source: RNAcentral